UACGAAGGGUGCAAGCGUUAAUCGGAAUUACUGGGCGUAAAGCGUGCGCAGGCGGUUAUAUAAGACAGAUGUGAAAUCCCCGGGCUCAACCUGGGAACUGCAUUUGUGACUGUAUAGCUAGAGUACGGUAGAGGGGGAUGGAAUUCCGCGUGUAGCAGUGAAAUGCGUAGAUAUGCGGAGGAACACCGAUGGCGAAGACAAUCCCCUGGACCUGUACUGACGCUCAUGCACGAAAGCGUGGGGAGCAAACAGG
Molecule: ribosomal RNA, 253 nt
Filed under: uncultured bacterium
Lineage: Bacteria
Description: partial 16S ribosomal RNA
Rfam family: Bacterial small subunit ribosomal RNA
Source: RNAcentral